ACUCCGUCCUGAAAUGGCUGAAACAGACAAUGAACCACGCCGUUUACAACUGGCUAGACAUGCAAACAAUUCCCUUCACACGAUAUGAGGCAGUUGUGGAGGUCACAAGUGGUGAUUCAGCUUUGUGGGAAGCAACGAUGGAAAAGAAUGGCGGCAGGAAGGGGAGGAAGAAAGUGCCAUCCCACAGUUACCUUUCACUGUCUGCUAUGAAUAAUGCCUAAGAAAUUAAAUGUGUCAAGGAAAAGAUAGAUGUUUUUCACGCAUCCUCCCACUUUGUGACAUAACCAAGAUUCUAUAAGGCCAAAUAGAUGUCUUAAAUGUCUUGGUCAAUGGCACCUUGGUCUAGAGCUGGGCUGGCUAAUUAAUUUUGCAAAGAGGCCACGGGAGAGACUGUAAUGCUUGCCGAGGGCCAAGCCAACAUGCUUACCCCAACUUUCUAGUAUAUUGUCGUUUCACUGAAUUGCUACAUACGUAGAUAUGGGAUGCAUUGUUGUCGUGAGGAAAUCAAGAAAAUAAACAAAAUUA
Long non-coding RNA from Hippocampus comes (tiger tail seahorse), 525 nucleotides. RefSeq lists it as uncharacterized. The record is from RefSeq and is a predicted model, not a curated record. The transcript has 2 exons. Lineage: Eukaryota; Metazoa; Chordata; Actinopteri; Syngnathiformes; Syngnathidae.